GACAGAGGGUGCAAACGUUGUUCGGAAUUACUGGGCGUAAAGCGCGUGUAGGCGGUUGCACAAGUCGGGUGUGAAAGCCCAGGGCUCAACCCUGGAAGUGCACUCGAAACUAGGCGACUUGAGUCUCGGAGAGGAAAGCGGAAUUCUGGGUGUAGAGGUGAAAUUCGUAGAUAUCCAGAGGAACACCGGUGGCGAAGGCGGCUUUCUGGACGAGUACUGACGCUGAGACGCGAAAGCGUGGGGAGCAAACAGG
This 253-nucleotide ribosomal RNA is filed under the name uncultured bacterium. RNAcentral describes it as "partial 16S ribosomal RNA". It matches the Rfam family "Bacterial small subunit ribosomal RNA", at positions 524 to 776 of the family's 1533-position model. The record is from RNAcentral.